RNAcentral lists this ribosomal RNA (1244 nucleotides) under metagenome. RNAcentral's name for it is "bacterial LSU rRNA". It matches the Rfam family "Bacterial large subunit ribosomal RNA", at positions 1564 to 2817 of the family's 2925-position model. The record is from RNAcentral.
UGAUGACGAGACGCUAAGGCGUUGAAGUGGUGUAUGUCAGACUUCCAAGAAAAGCUCGCAAUGUCAUAGAUAAAAAAUGCCUGUACCAUAACCGACACAGGUGGGUAGGUAGAGUAUACUAAGGGGCGCGAGAUAACUCUCUCUAAGGAACUCGGCAAAAUGACUCCGUAACUUCGGGAGAAGGAGUGCCUUAUUUAUAAGGUUGCAAUAACAAGAUCCAAGCAACUGUUUAUCAAAAACACAGGUCUCCGCUAAGUCGUAAGACGAUGUAUGGGGGCUGACGCCUGCCCAGUGCCAGAAGGUUAAAGAAGUUGGUUAGUGUAAGCGAAGCUGAUAACUGAAGCCCUGGUGAACGGCGGCCGUAACUAUAACGGUCCUAAGGUAGCGAAAUUCCUUGUCGGGUAAGUUCCGACCCGCACGAAAGGCGUAAUGAUUUGGAUACUGUCUCGGAGAGAGGCUCGGUGGAAUAGACUUGUCUGUGAAGAUGCGGACUACCUGCACCAGGACAGAAAGACCCUAUGAAGCUUUACUGUAACUUGAAAUUGGAAUUGGACUUUGCUUGCGCAGUAUAGGUGGGAAGCGUUGAAGAUACUCUUGCGGGACUAUUGGAGCUAUCAGUGAGAUACCACUCUUGUAAUGUUAGAUUUCUAACUUUGAACCAUAAUCUGGUCAAAGAACAGUUUCAGGCGGGCAGUUUGACUGGGGCGGUCGCCUCCUAAAUGGUAGCGGAGGCGUACAAAGGUUUCCUCUGAACGGAUAGAAAUCGUAUCUAGAGUGUAAAGGCAUAAGGAAGCUUGACUGUGAGACCUACAAGUCGAGCAGGGACGAAAGUCGGUCUUAGUGAUCUGACGGUACUGAGUGGAAAGGCCGUCACUCAACGGAUAAAAGUUACUCUAAGGAUAACAGGCUGAUCUCCCCCAAGAGUUCACAUCGACGGGGAGGUUUGGCACCUCGAUGUCGGCUCAUCGCAUCCUGGGGCGGUAGUACGUCCCAAGGGUUGGGCUGUUCGCCCAUGAAAGCGGUACGCGAGCUGGGUUCAGAACGUCGUGAGACAGUUCGGUCCAUAUCCGGUGUAGGCGUUAGAAUAUUGAGAGGAGCCUUCUUUAGUACGAGAGGACCGAGAAGGACACACCGCUGGUGUACCAGUUAUCGUGCCAACGGUAAACGCUGGGUAGCUAUGUGUGGAGAGGAUAACCGCUGAAAGCAUCUAAGUGGGAAGCCCACCUCAAGAUGAGUAUUCUCAU